CAGUAGCCACGGUAAUACGAAGGGGGCUAGCGUUGUUCGGAUUUACUGGGCGUAAAGGGCGCGUAGGCGGGCGAAUAAGUCAGGGGUGAAAUCCCAAGGCUCAACCUUGGAACUGCCUUUGAUACCGGCGAUCUUGAGUACGGGAGAGGUGAGUGGAACUGCGAGUGUAGAGGUGAAAUGCGUAGAGAUGUGGAGGAACACCAGUGGCGAAGGCGACUCUCUGGUCUGUAACUGACGCUGAGGAGCGAAAGCGUGGGGAGCGAACAGGAUUAGAUACCCCGGUAGUCCCUGUCUCUUAUAC
RNAcentral lists this ribosomal RNA (301 nucleotides) under uncultured bacterium. RNAcentral describes it as "partial 16S ribosomal RNA". It matches the Rfam family "Bacterial small subunit ribosomal RNA", at positions 509 to 807 of the family's 1533-position model. The record is from RNAcentral.